RNAcentral lists this ribosomal RNA (497 nucleotides) under uncultured bacterium. RNAcentral describes it as "partial 16S ribosomal RNA". It matches the Rfam family "Bacterial small subunit ribosomal RNA", at positions 28 to 507 of the family's 1533-position model. The record is from RNAcentral.
GAUGAACGCUGGCGGCGUGCCUAAUACAUGCAAGUCGAGCGAACAGACGAGGAGCUUGCUCCUCUGACGUUAGCGGCGGACGGGUGAGUAACACGUGGAUAACCUACCUAUAAGACUGGGAUAACUUCGGGAAACCGGAGCUAAUACCGGAUAAUAUAUUGAACUGCAUGGUUCAAUAGUGAAAGACGGUUUUGCUGUCACUUAUAGAUGGAUCCGCGCCGCAUUAGCUAGUUGGUAAGGUAACGGCUUACCAAGGCAACGAUGCGUAGCCGACCUGAGAGGGUGAUCGGCCACACUGGAACUGAGACACGGUCCAGACUCCUACGGGGGGCAGCAGUAGGGAAUCUUCCGCAAUGGGCGAAAGCCUGACGGAGCAACGCCGCGUGAAUGAUGAAGGUCUUCGGAUCGUAAAACUCUGUUAUUAGGGAAGAACAAAUGUGUAAGUAACUAUGCACGUCUUGACGGUACCUAAUCAGAAAGCCACGGCUAACUACGUG